AACGAACGCUGGCGGCAGGCUUAACACAUGCAAGUCGAACGCACCUUUCGGGGUUAGUGGCAGACGGGUGAGUAACGCGUGGGAAUCUACCCUUCUCUACGGGAUAGCUCCGGGAAACUGGAAUUAAUACCGUAUACGUCCUGAGGGAGAAAGAUUUAUCGGGGAAGGAUGAGCCCGCGUUGGAUUAGCUAGUUGGUGGGGUAAAGGCCUACCAAGGCGACGAUCCAUAGCUGGUCUAAGAGGAUGAUCAGCCACAUUGGGACUGAGACACGGCCCAAACUCCUACGGGAGGCAGCAGUGGGGAAUAUUGGACAAUGGGCGCAAGCCUGAUCCAGCCAUGCCGCGUGAGUGAUGAAGGCCCUAGGGUUGUAAAGCUCUUUCAGUGGGGACGAUAAUGACGGUACCCACAGAAGAAGCCCCGGCUAACUUCGUG
This 433-nucleotide ribosomal RNA is filed under the name uncultured bacterium. RNAcentral's name for it is "partial 16S ribosomal RNA". It matches the Rfam family "Bacterial small subunit ribosomal RNA", at positions 29 to 507 of the family's 1533-position model. The record is from RNAcentral.